This 10573-nucleotide long non-coding RNA is filed under the name Daucus carota (carrot). Its description in RNAcentral is "long non-coding RNA (DCAR_LNC004605)". Lineage: Eukaryota; Viridiplantae; Streptophyta; Magnoliopsida; Apiales; Apiaceae. The record is from RNAcentral.
CCGGAAUCCAUGGCAACGAGAGCUUCGCAUUAUCGAUCAAAUAAAAAUCUAGCAAACCCUAGUUAAAAAAUAAUCUCGGAAAGAUAAAUACCGAAAGAAACGUAACGUACCGUGAAUAUGAAGUUAUAUCCAUGUUUAAGAACAUUAGUAAGAAACAGCGUUCUUCUCCACAUCAUGUUGAUGAAAUCUUCGCUCAUGUAUAGCUUCUCCCCCACAAAAUCCACGCCGUCCGUUUUGAGCUUGUAGCAAUGCAACCGUAGAUAUUUACACCGAUCAUACGAGGUUUGAUCCGCCGCCACGAUUAAGAGAUGAUCGACUAGGUUUCUUGUGUUUUCGCCUAGCCAAAAUCCAUCGAGAAAUAUGUCGAGCAUGGGCUUGUCUCCUUCUACGUAGGCUUUGUUCACCAUGGCUAUAAUCACCGUCUUGUUUUGUNUUGAGAAAUACAAUCUGCAAUGUAUUUGUACUAGGAGAAGAACAAAGUUUACUCUGAAACCACCACUUUAUUAUUAUGAAAGACGAUUACAAUAUAAAGGAAAAGAGAUAUAUGAUAUCCCAUGAAAGUAGGAAAGAAAUAAACUAGAGCCAAAGAUAAGCCUAAAUGAACGUAAGAUUUAUUCUCUUAAUGAUUCUGCAGAUUCUCCAGCCAUGCACCAGCGAUUGUGUCACCUUGCCAUAUCCAGCAGCAUCCAUGAUUCUGGGGAAUUAUACCGAGUUUAGAUUAAUAAACCCAACAAACUCCCCUUUAAUCUAAACUCGUCUAAAUGCACUUUACCACGCCAAGUAAGUUUCUCAUGAUUUCGAAUUUUACAGCUGCAAGGGCUUUUGUGAGUAGGUCCGCACGCUGUUCCUCAGAUCGUACAUGUUUUACAGUGAUUUCUCCGUUCUCUACACACUCACGUAUGAAGUGAUACCGAAUGUCUAUAUGCUUGCUUCUCCCAUGAAACACCGGAUUUUUGGCCAAGUCAAUCGCAGACUUGUUAUCAAUGAAGAGAGUGACUGGGCCAAUGUCAUACUUGGUAAUCUGAGCUAAUAAUUUCCUUAACCAAACAGCUUGACAAGCUGCAGCUGUGGCUGCCAUGAACUCAGCUUCGCAUGAAGAAAGUGCGACACAUUUUUGUUUCUGGGAUGUCCAGGUUAUCAAACUCUUGUUAAGGUAGAACACCAUGCCUCCGGUACUCUUCCUGUCCUCUAUAUUGCCAGCCAAAUCGCUGUCGGAAUAUCCAAUCAGCACUUCAUUGUCACUGUCCUGUGAGUAUACCAGUCCGAAGUCAAUCGUUCCCUUUACGUACCUGAGUAUGCGUUUUACAGCACCUUGAUGCAACUGUGUGGGUCUGUCCAUGAAUCUGCUUAGAAUGCCCACAGAAUACGCCAGAUCAGGUCUGGUGUGCACCAAGUAUCUCAAACCUCCUAUCAUACUCUUGUAUGCUGUAGGGUCUACUGCUAUUCCUUCUUCAUCUUUGUUAAUGACUUCUUUGGGGUGCAUCGGAAUCUUUGCUGAAUUACACUGCAGCAUACCAGCUUUAUUGAGGAUUUUCUUCGCGUACCCUGACUGUUUUAGCUGGAUAUAGCCAUUUCUUUGCAUGACUUCAAUGCCUAGAUAGUACGUUAGCUCCCCCAAAUCACUCAUGUCGAACCUGUGUCCCAUCUUCCUCUUGAACUCCUCAAUUUCCUUUAUGCUUGAACCUGUCACCAAGAUGUCGUCGACAUAUACGCCGACUAUAAGUACACCCUCUCCUGUUUUCUUUGUGUACACAGCUUGCUCGUAUGCACACCUGACAAAACCCAAUUCUUCUAAGCAUUUAUUCAGUUUGGAGUACCAGGCCCUUGGAGCUUGACGAAGACCGUACAGUGCUUUUAUGAGCUUAUAAACUAGAUGUUCCUUCCCAUGCUUAACAAAUCCUUCAGGCUGUCUGACGUAGACUUCUUCCUUAAUUUCUCCGUUCAGAAAAGCCGUCUUCACGUCCAGAUGGUGCACCUUCCAUUGUUCUUUUGCUGCAAUUGCGAGUAACAAUCGUAUGGUCUCAAUACGUGUGACUGGAGCGAAAACUUCAUCAUAAUCUACGCCUUGCUUCUGAACAUAUCCCUUGGCAACGAUCCUGGCCUUGUACUUCACAAUGUUCCCGUUUGCAUCUCGUUUGAUUUUGUAGAUCCACUUCAAGUCAAUGGGUUUCCUGUCUCGAGGUAGUUCUGUCAGAACCCAAGUUCCGUUUCUCUCUACUGCAUCCAUUUCUAUCUCCAUUGCCUUUGUCCAUUCACUUUCUUUCACUGCUUGUGUGUAGUUUGCUGGUUCAUCUACGCCCAUGAGGAAAAGUUCUUCAUCUUCCAACUCGAACGGCACAGUUUCAUUAUAGACAUCACUCAAGUCCCUGUACCUUCGAGAUUGUUCUGCAGAGCUUGUUGAGUUUGUAGUUGGCGUUGAUGUCGAAGCUUGUCUGGCCAAAGUCUGAGAACUCUGUGUGUGUGCUUCACUUCCAGAGAAUCUACUCGUCGAACUAUGGCUUACAAAGUUACCUGAGCCACCGUCAGCGUUUGAGUGCCUCGGUACAGGGUCUGGUGUCGACUCUUCAUUCAAACUCGAUGCAUCAUUUUCAUUGAUCUCGGUUGCUUCAUCCAAACCACCUGUAAAUACAGUGAAGGUACCGGCUGGUGACUGUGUUUCUUCCAUUUCUUUAACCCAAUUCCAAGCUCUUCUUUCUUCAAACUCUACAUCUCGGCUCACAGAAAUUGUCUUAGUCACAGGGUCAUACAGUCUGAAAGCUUUCGUACCCGAUUCUUUCCCAAGGUAGACAACUGGUUUGCUCCUGCUGUCUAGUUUUUUCAAAUUUACACCGGGCAGUUUCAUGUGGGCAACACAGCCAAAGACACGGAGAUGAUCAACAUGUGGUUUCUUUCCCGACCAGGCUUCGUAUGGCGUAAUUCCAGUUAGUGCACGUGUGGGUAGUCUAUUGAUCAAGUAAGUGGAGUGACGCACGGCCUCUCCCCAAAAAUGAUUUGGCAAGUUCAUCUCCUUCAGUAGGCUUCGUGACAUCUCAAGUAGUGUUCUAUUACGUCGCUCAACCACGCCGUUCUGCUGAGGCGAAUAGGGUGCAGAGAAGUGUCUAACAAUUCCAGUUUCCUUGCAAUACUUCGAAAACUCUUUUGAAGUGAAUUCUCCACCGUUGUCUGUUCUGAAAGUCAUGAUUUUAUUCCUUUCAGGAGUGUUCUCAACCAACACACGAAAAUUUUUGAAAGCCUCAAAUGCAUCACUUUUGUUCUUCAACAAAUAGGUCCACAUAACACGACUAUAAUCAUCAAUCAAGACAAGUAUGUAUUUAUUACCUCCUGGAGUACAUGGUGUGAUCGGUCCGCACAGGUCACCGUGGACUAGUUCAAGCGGUUUCUUUGCUGAAAAGCUCGAUUUUUGAGGGAAUGAUUUUCUGACUUGCUUUGACAUCAAACAUCCAGUGCAAACUUCAUGUUGUUGAUCUAUCUUUGGCAUUCCACAGACCAUAUUUGUCGAGGACAUGAGCUUCAUCGCCUUGAAAUUCACAUGGCCUAGGCGAGAGUGCCACAGCCAACUCUCAUUCUCAUCUCUCGACAGCAAGCACUUCGUCUCGCCGCUGUAGAUAAUGAUUUUAUACAAUCUGUUCGGAGACCGUUUGACUUUCAUGAACAAAGCACCCUGUUCUUCAUGAACCCAGAGAUACUCUCCCUUGAUAGAUAUUCUAUAUCCAUUCUCUGAGAGUUGUCCAAGACUAAUUAUAUUACUUCUAAGUGAGGGAAUAUAAUAUACCUCAGUCAGUGUCCUGUUUUCUCCAUUCUUGCACCUCAAUGUGAUUGAUCCCUUGCCUCUUAUUUGAACCAUCGAGCCAUCACCGAAUUUUACCUGACCUGUUAUCCCUGUGUCAAGUUUAUCAAAUUUCGAGUACUGGCCAGUCAUGUGGUUGCUUGCACCAUUGUCCAAGUACCACAAAUUUGAUUCCAUUUGUUCGUUUUCUCCUUGACCCAACUUCGGUUUUACUCGUUCCUCGUUGAUCACCGUACCAUUCUUUUCCCUUUCAACCAAAAGUAAGGCCGGUUCAUCGUCAGGUAUCUGGGCAAAGUGAGCCUCAUCAGUGUCUUCCCUUUCUCGUCUUGAUUUUUUGCACUCCACGGCAUAGUGACCGUAAGCGUUACAGUUGAAACAUCGCACUUUAGUUUUAUCUCGUCCUCCUCGUAUGUACCCUUUUGCCCUGUUCCUUGCAUGCGAUGUCUCGGCGUUUCCUUUGACUGAACAUUUCAUCCAUUCCUCUUUUGUAAGCAAUAGCUUGCUCUCUUCUUUUUCUCUUUCGACCCACUCCUCCCUGGUGAGAAGUAACUUUCCCUCCUUUGUCUCAGUUUGUCCCUUGAUUCUUUCUUCAUGAGCCUUCAGUGAUCCCACCGUUUCUUCCACAGUCAUUUUCUCGAUAUUUCCAAACUGUUCUAUAGUGGAGGCGAUUUGUAAAAAUUUCGAAGGGGCUGCUCUUAAGAUCUUUUUGACGACAUAGCUUUCUGCAACAGUUUCUCCCAGUGAGCGUAUGUUGGUCACCAAUCCGUUCAAUUUCAUGGUGAAGUCGUCUAUUGAGUCUGUGUCCUGCAUAGUCAUAGACUCAAACUCUGCCUUGAGGGUUUGUAUUUUUGCCGUCUUGGCUCUAUCAGCACCUUGACACAGUGUUUUGAUAGCCUCCCACGCUCCCUUGGCUGAUUCCUUGUCUGCAAUCGAGAGGAGUACGUCCUCCGGANAGCUGUUUCUGCAAAUUUUCACUAAUUCUUGCAACACAUAUCACUACAUCCUAAAGAGAAUAUCACUAAAUUGUACNAUUGCUCCAUUACUCAAAGAGAAUCAUAAGAAAGAGCCUCCAACAAACACGUAGGAGGAGACAUGAAUAAAUUAUGGGAAUUUACUAAACACUGGAUUCCAGCGACUUCAUGUGCUACCCAGUUAGCAUUCUUCCGAACAAAAACAAUCGAACCUCUACAUAAAUUGCUUAGCAUCUGUUUACAAGUCUCGAUUAUUUCUUCAACCUCUAAAAAAUUCACCUUCUGGCCUGCAAUUGCAUCAACGCUGAGUUUUGAAUCGGCCUCAAUUACCACAACCCGUAGUCCUCAUCGUGCCGGUGAUUAAUAUACGACUAACUAUACGUUUAUUGUUUACACACAUUUCGAUUUCGAAGUUUUUAUAAAAUAUAAUUUAUAAUAUUUUUUUAAUUUUUUUUGAAAUAAAAAUUUAAACAUCAAAUUUUUAUUAAAGAAAUUAAAAUUAUUUGCUUGUGGGUAAGAAUUCGAAGAAUAUGUAAGAAGAUUAUAAUUACAAAUUUAGAAAAUAAAUUUAGGUCGAUUUUUUUUAUUGCAUGUGAAUAUGUGAUAGCAAAAACUGAUAUGGAAAAUAUUAUUCAUAUUCUUGUUGUGGAUUAUGAUGGUAUGAUGAUGUUAAGAUGAAGUGUUCUUUGUGGGUUACGUCAAGAAAGGCCCAUUUAAAAUUAUUGAUUCACCCACAUAUAUCUACGUGGGUGUGGACUAAUGGAAGAGAUUCAAGUCCAUGUCGAGUCCAGAAUGAUAAGGUGGGGCCGUUUGGGCAAGCUUAAAAGAAGUGACUUCUGGCUUAAACUAGAGAAGUGGAGCAGAAGUGUUCAACUUCAAAACGCGGCGNNNNNNNNNNNNNNNNNNNNNNNNNNNNNNNNNNNNNNNNNNNNNNNNNNNNNNNNNNNNNNNNNNNNNNNNNNNNNNNNNNNNNNNNNNNNNNNNNNNNNNNNNNNNNNNNNNNNNNNNNNNNNNNNNNNNNNNNNNNNNNNNNNNNNNNNNNNNNNNNNNNNNNNNNNNNNNNNNNNNNNNNNNNNNNNNNNNNNNNNNNNNNNUGUUCAUACUUCUUUCUCCACCUCGGCUGAUAUGGAAAAUAUUAUUCAUAUUCUUGUUGUGGAUUAUGAUGGUAUGAUGAUGUUAAGAUGAAGUGUUCUUUGUGGGUUACGUCAAGAAAGGCCCAUUUAAAAUUAUUGAUUCACCCACAUAUAUCUACGUGGGUGUGGACUAAUGGAAGAGAUUCAAGUCCAUGUCGAGUCCAGAAUGAUAAGGUGGGGCCGUUUGGGCAAGCUUAAAAGAAGUGACUUCUGGCUUAAACUAGAGAAGUGGAGCAGAAGUGAGAAGUAAAUAAGUUAAUAAAGUGUUUGUAAAAGAAGCAGAAGCUGUGAGACAAAAGCUAGCAUUCUCAGCUUUUUAAAAGUACUUCUACUUCUUUACACAAACGGGUCAAAAGAAGUAGAAGCCAGAAGCAGCUUCUGCUUCCGUUAAACAAACAGGCACAAGGUUUCGAUCCGACUUAUAAGUAUAGUUUAGAUUAAACUAGAUUUAAGUUUGAUUAUUUCCUAAUAAAUAAUGAAAUAACAGUAAUAAAUAGUUUUAUUUUGUAAAAUUCAUCACUUUUCUUAAAGGAAAUUUAUCUCACUUGCAGUACAUUUUUGUCAAAGAAUUAGAAAAGCGCUGAAAAAUCUGGAAUAUAAUUAAGAAAAAUUAAAACAAAAACUGAAACGAAGAGUUCGAAUUAAAUAUUUUCAAGGAUUUAAACAAACACCGUAAAAGUCAGAAAAAUAUUUUUUGGACAAAUAACGAAGUCUAAAAAUAAAGUAUAUACAUAGGAGUACUUUUUUAUUUGAAAACUUUCAGGAAAAUUGGUACAUUUUGGUAAUAUUAAUAAUGGGCAGAAAGUACUCAUACAUCUUUUUAUGUAAAAACAAGGUCGUAGUAAAAAUUUCCCUAAACUAUUAAAUUAAAUUUGGUAUCAGAGACCUCUACUUAAUCAUCAAAAUUUAUCAACUUUUUACAAAAAUCAGUUUUUAACAUGAUCACCUACCACUAACAGCAGGGUGGAGUCUGACCUCGCAAAAAUUCGAAUUAUACAAUUUUCACAUAGACCUACUCCCAAUAUUUUUAAUUGUAUCAGAAAUAACAUGAGAAAUAAUAAUAUUAAAAUAUAUACAUAGACAAUACAAGUAUUCGUUGGUCCAUGGGCGUAAACAAAACAAAAUAAAUAUUUCUUACAAAAAACGAAAAAAAACAUUUUGAGGCUUUAAUUUCUACCUGUAUAAUUCAGCGAUUUCUCCACGAAUCCAUACAUGCAUUGUGCGGUGACCAUCUAAACGGCACCGUUUGAUUAGCGAAAAAUCUUUUCCAGUCAUGAAUGACACUAGUUAGAUCAGUAACCUUAGCAUGGAUACUUCUACAACAGUUAGCAUGAACUGUGGACACAACUCUAACAUCUCUACUGUCUUGACAAAACCCACUGAAGUAAAGAGUGUCCAAGAACCUAGCCUUGAUCCCUAACCUCCUAAACAAACCUCGGCGCAUCAGUUUUUCCAGCACAUCUUGUUCUUUCAGACCCUCGGAUUUGUUUUUUUGAGCGUACCAGGAAUCGAACAGUGCGAUGGUUUUGUGGUUGGAAUUGAUCAUGUAGAAGCCUGUGUUGAUCCGUUGUCUGCAUUCUGACCAUGGGUGGCCGAUGAAGUAGUCGACGCUGAUUUGGAUGUCGAUGCUUUGGUUUUGUAUGAGAUUUGGGAAUGGGUUUCUUAGCCAUAAUACGUCUGCGUCCUGCAGAUCAUCAGAGCAAAUAUUAAGAAUAUUGGACAUGUUAAAAAUCGACACAACAGAUAUAACAAUUUUUUAUAAUAUAAAACAUUACUACAUCCACUACUUUCUCCCGGCCCACUAUCUUCAUUUAUAUAACAAUAAAUCCGUGUUCAAUCCCAAUUUAUAUAAUUCAUUGGGACGGAGGGACUACUCUACUAUUAUGCGGUGUUAGGUAGUCAUCUAUAAUUUGUUUUCAAAACAGAUUAUAUCUUGCUAUUAUGAAAUUAAUCCUUCGAAAUUACUACUCAUAUAAUUAUAAAAUCAGUUAUCGUCAUUUGUAAUUUGGUCCGAGAUGAACAGUAUCCUCGUAUAUACGUAUAUAUAUGCUUUUACUUAAUAAUUGUUUUCACCGAUGAAACAUCUUUUCAUAUUUUAUUCGACUAUUUUCUAAUCAGUCAAUGCACUAUAACUAAUUAUUAUAUGUGUGAUGAUACUAAACAAUACACAUGUUAUUUAAUAAUACCAUGUGAUUAUAAUUUUUUACGGAUCUUUCUUUUUCAAUGUAAAUUUCAUUCUAAUGACACAUAAAAGUUAUAUCAUAUUCAAACAUUCUUUAAUAUAUUCCAAAAAUUUUCCUUAACUUCCUUCCAAUUAUUAUUUAGAAAAAAUUCAGUUCUAAUAAUACAUAAAAAUUUGUCAUAUUCAGACUCAAUAUCACAUGUCAACCAAUUAUCGUUUAAAAUUCACAAAGGCUACCUAAUCUACAGUCUAAAAUAAUCUACGUAUCUGCCCACCCUAUCCCAUUGUAGUAGUAUAAAUUUCAGUAGCUGGCGUGUUCAAUAAUAAUAUCCCUGUUUGGUUUCCAUUCUAUUAGAGAUCUAUUCACAAGUGAUUUUUCAAAUAUUUUCACACAUUUCUUCAAAAACAAUAUUACGGGUGUUUGGCGAUAGCUUUUAAACCAAGUUUCUGAAUUUAUAAGUUAGAAACACUUAUGCACUUAUUUUAAACUUACCAAAACGGUCUCAAUAUCUUUACGGAUAUUUUCACAUUGUUUAAGUUAGAAACACUUAUGCACUUAUUUUAAACUUACCAAAACGGUCUCAAUAUCUUUACGGAUAUUUUCACAUUGUUUAAGUUAGAAACACUUAUGCACUUAUUUUAAACUUACCAAAACGGUCUCAAUAUCUUUACGGAUAUUUUCACAUUGUUUACAGUGGCGGAACCAGAGGGGGGCUAGAGAGGAUGCUAGAGCCCCCAACCUCGAAAAAACAGUGUAUAUUUUUUUUCAGGCCCCGCUGAAUUAGUGAUUUCAAUAUAAUUUUUUUUUAAGCCCCGCUGAAGUAUAAAUGUCAUACAGAGGGAGGCACUUAGUCUAACAGAAAAUCUAAUUAACAAAUACAUUCAAACAGAUGCACUCCGAGCAACUCCAACAAGCUCCUAUUUUUUCUCUAAAAAUAAUAUAAACAAUCAACUCUUAACCAUUUAAGAAGUAAAAUUACACAAUAUUUUACUAACCUUUUUAUUGGGAGACAUUUUGAGAAGAUGUUCACUACUGUAAAACUUGUUUACUAACCUUUUUAUUUAACAUGUUAUUGAUCUUAUUUCCCAAGAGAAGGAUAACCGUUUAAUUUACAGAAGGAAAUAUAGAGUUACUACUUUGUAUUGGCUCUUUGGAUCCUAGGAAUUAAUUUUCAAGUUUCAAUAACUCAAAAUUGGUCUUCAUUGCACAAUUUUAUCCAAAGGAAUUCUCUUUGCUAGAUCUUCAAAGUAUAGGAAAUCAAUUUUCUACUAUGAAAACAAAUAGGAUGGGAGAUACACGACUGAAUGAUAGUAUGAUGAUAUAUAUUGAGAAAACUAUUUAAGCAAGUAUGGAUGACGAAAUAAUUCAGCCCCCUAACUCUUAUUCCUGGUUCCGCCACCGAUUGUUUACUACAAUAAGCUAGCAUGGUUUAUAGGUUAUAGGUUAUUUUAAUAUUUAUAAGCUUUUUAUUAGUUUUUUUCAUAAAGUUUUUUAAUAAUUUAAUUAUAAUAAUAUAGUAUAAAUCUUAAUAAUAUUAUUAAUUUUAAUAACUGGACUUUACAAUUAAAAAUUUAAAAAUAUUUUAAAAUUUGUUGGCUAAUUAAUUUAACUUAAUUAUUAAAACAAUUAAAUUUCAAAAUAAAGAGAUCUAACAAGUAGAGGUGGCAAUAUGGUUGCAAAAUUAUUAAACCAAACCAAAAUUGUGAAUUUGGAUCAAUAUGAAAUCACAUUUGGAAAAAUGGAUUUGGUUUGGUUUCUAAUCUCAUAUAUCUCGACACACGUUAUUGUGUUCUUUUUCUUUUUGCUAGUUACGCACACCCCGUGAUUCGAACCAUGACCUUCUUGAAGAAGUCUAGAGUUUGAACCACUGCAUCAACUAACAAACCCACACAUGAUAUUGUUAUAUUUACUAUUUAUUACAUUGUCACUUAAGUGUAUUAAUUUCUGUUCAGCAUAUAAUAUUUAUUUUUACUUAUUAAACUAGUUUACCCAUAAUUCAAACUAAAACCAUAACCACAUUUGUUAAUAUAUGGUUUGAAAAUGGUUUUGGUUCAUUUAUCCAACUUAAAUUCAUUUUAUAAGAACCAAAAUCAAACCAAUCACACAUUUUGCCACCUCUAAACUCUGGCAAAGUAUUACCAGGAAUCCAUGGCAACGAAAAUACCGACAAACCCUUUAGAUACAUGCUUCUCAUUCUCGAUCAAAUAAAAAUCUAGCAAACCCUAAUUAAAAAAAUAAUCUUGGAAAGAAACGUACGACCGUGAAUAUGAAGUUAUAUCCAUGUUUAAGAACAUUAGUGAGAAACAGCGUUCUUCUCCACAUCAUGUUGAUGAAAUCUUCACUCAUGUAUAGCUUCUCCCCCAUAAAAUCCACGCCGUCCGUUUUAAGCUUGUAGCAAUGCAAGUGUAGAUAUUUACACCGAUCAUACGAGGUUUGAUCUGCCGCCACGAUUAAGAGAUGAUCGACUAGGUUUCUUGUAUUUUCGCCUAGCCAAAAUCC